Molecule: long non-coding RNA, 2948 nt
Organism: Dermochelys coriacea (leatherback sea turtle)
Lineage: Eukaryota; Metazoa; Chordata; Testudines; Dermochelyidae
Exons: 5
Source: RefSeq, a predicted model, not a curated record
GGUUCCCCUAGCCCAGAAAGGGGAGUGGAGUUCUCUUCCCAAUUUUGAAGAAGAACAGCAAUUACAUGAUGGAGUCAGGAGUGAGGGGAUGGAUGCCGCAGGGCAGAAGACUCUGUGGGAAGGGAAGGUGCUCAGGUGCCCUGACGGCUCUGGAUGCUCCAAGCCCCAGUCUCUGCAGUGCUGUCCAGAGCCCAGACAGGCUAGCCUGUGCUUCUCCACUGAUCAACCAGAGAGACUGAGAAGGGCUAGGCUGCUGCUACAACCCCGUGACAGGAUGAAUCCCUAUUACUAUGGCAACACAGAUGGCUGGUGUGCCACCAGCUCAUUCUCAUAGACAGGGAUGUGAGAACCUGGAGUCAGGGCUCUGUCACUUCGGACAGCACCUUCAGGUAACCUGGUGGAGGUCUGGAUCCUGCAGAGAAUUGACCCAGAUCUGGUUCUGGUUCUGCACCACUGAUGGGCCACUCCCAGUGCCAACCCUCAGCAGCAGCUGCAGUAGCUGAUCCUGGUGGACAGGUGCUUGUACACAGGAGACAACUACCGCACCCAGCUGGUGCCUGUGGGAACUGCCUCGGGGCUGCACUUCCCCUCUCACCACCAACGCUUCAUUGUCAGCAACUUCACCUUCAUGGAGUCUGCCUUCCAGCGGGUGCUCACAGGGCCAGUAUGGCUUCUGAACAAUACAGGGUCCUUCCACCUAUCUCCUCCAGCCCCUGAGCUAGGGAGGGAAACUGGCUCUAAAAAGCCAAGCUUGACUGCCAGCAACUAGAGGAAGAACAAUUCUCUUGCUUGCAGCAGUGGAUACCUGGGUAACUCCCAGAAAUUAGUAGGAUGGGCUCUAACUUUGAGAGAGCCCUGCACGUCCAGCUUUGUGCCUGUCUCUAUUCUAAGACCUCAGGCACACAGCAUGCUGUGGGAGUCCCAUGGUGCACCAUCCCACUUGGACAGAGGGGAGACUGCAGUGCAUCAUGGGAGAUGCAGGAGCGCUCAGCCCACAGGAGGAAGGUGUUUGAGCUACGACUCCCAUGAGGUAAUGCAGCACCACAUUUCAGCUUCUGUUUGAAUCUCCUGAUUCACUUUUCCAUCACAAAUCUCCAAUUUUGCAGGUUUUGCCCUUCUCGUCCCUAGUGCUGCUCCGGACCAGCUCUGAUACUCCCAGCCUAACCUGCUGUUUCAGCCCAGCCCUAGGUAUUGCUCAUGUCCAGUCUCUCCAUCCCUUUGAAUGGGUUUAGGUCUCAUUUAUCUGCAGGGUGAGAUUCCUCCAGUUCUGCCAUGUGGCCAAGUUCUGCUCAGGUGAGGCCCCGAACUCUGUGCUGCUUCCUUGCCUACAAGCGGGGGAGGGGAUGGGGACGGGGACCCUGCAAUGCAUUGACCUUGCUGCUCUGACCCCCCCAAGGCACUCGGCAUAGCUGUAAUAGGGCUUCCCCCAACUCCUGAACGCACACAUGGGUGCCUACACGAUUGGGGCUCCUGGCACAUGGAUACAAAGGCAACCUCCAACCCCGCUACACUUGCCCCAAGGUGGCUGCUUCUGAACUUCAAGAGCUCCAGGCCCUAACCCAUGCCCUCUCCUCUAGGUGUACCUGCACUGCACCACUUCCAUGUGCUGGCCCUCCAGUCUGGAGCCUGUGAGUGUCCUGGCCCCUCUGCCUCCCCUUCUCUCUGUGGGAUGGGAUAAGAAGGCUUAGCAGGAAUCAGCUGUCUCUCUGGAACUGGGUCUGAGAAACCUGGGAGUGGGGUCCUCCUCUUCUCCCUCCUGCCAUGAGACUGUUGCUUCUGGGCACAGACUUCCUCUAAUACUGGGGGUAACAUCGUUCUUGCAGUGAGCAGCUCCAUCUCCCAGAGCCUCUUUGAGAAGUCCAAAUUCAGCCUCAUCCCAAGGGAAAAGGACAUGUACUCCUCAAUCCCUGAACAAUGGGGAGUGUCCUGGUUCUGGAAGGCGGGGAGUGCUAGGCUAUGUGGGUCUCCUGAAGUAGAGACCUGGUGGUGUGGGAGUACAGGUUUCUUGUCUGUGCCUUGCAAUUAAACUCUUGCUGGCUUUAUGGGGGGCAAGAGGAGCUCCAAGCAGCACCCUCAAGAUAGGCCUUUCCCCAUCACCAGCUGGGGGGCUGAUGUACUCUUCCAGGACUGGAUGAGGAGAAGCUGCCGUGGAUGGAUGGGGUGAGUAUCUGAGCCCUGGUGUAACUGUAGUCUGAAGCUGACCUUGUCCCUGAGCCUGGUGUGAGCUGCCCAGUGGUAGAAAUUCCCUUCAAGGGAACCGUACAUGCUGCUGGGCAAUCGAACAAGGGCACUAAGCCAGAGCAACAACUUGUGUACUGGGUGACUCUGCAUUUCAGGCUGCAUUCUGGGUGUUGUGGUCACAUCUGAAAUAGCAUCUACUGCCUCAUCUAUAGCUGCCACAUUCUCCAGCCCCUGGGCAGGGUGGGAGUCUGCCAUGAGCAGGAAAGGGCUGGCAGUGGGAGAGAGAAGAUUCCUGUUCCUCCUACCCCUCCCUGGGCCGUGCAGACUGGGUGUAUGGCUAAUAACUGCUUUGUCUCCUUCCUGCACGCUUGUCUCAGAGCACCUUGGACUGCAGCUUGGGCCAGCGCAGCAGUUGGGGGAGGGGCAGUCCAUGUCACUCCUGGCAACUGCAUGGUGGAGAUGGAGGAGAAAUGCACUUGUGAAACCAGAAUCUUGAAUUAAAACCAUUCCAGACAUACUGUGUCUCUGGCUCUUCUCUGCCCAUCUCUGCAGUCUCCCCAUGAGAAGGGGAGAACGAACCUGAGAUGGGUGUGGGUGGAGCAACGGGCAAAAUCCCUGCUAGACACAUUGUUUAUGGAAGCUUUCCCUCCACUCUCCUGGCUUCUGCCACAGCUCCUGGUUCCCUUGGCAUAGUCUGCCCUGUCUCUUCACCUCGAUUACUGGCUAUGGCUAAGCGGAAGCUGUUUAUCAUGGUGAGCAUGUGACAG